RNAcentral lists this ribosomal RNA (253 nucleotides) under uncultured bacterium. RNAcentral describes it as "partial 16S ribosomal RNA". It matches the Rfam family "Bacterial small subunit ribosomal RNA", at positions 524 to 776 of the family's 1533-position model. The record is from RNAcentral.
UACGUAGGAGGCGAGCGUUGUCCGGAUUUAUUGGGCGUAAAGAGCGUGUAGGCGGCUUGGCAAGUCCGCUGUGAAAACUCGAGGCUUAACCUCGAGACGUCGGUGGAAACUGCUUGGCUAGAGUCCGGAAGAGGAGAGUGGAAUUCCUGGUGUAGCGGUGAAAUGCGCAGAUAUCAGGAAGAACACCCGUGGCUAAGGCGGCUCUCUAGUACGGUACUGACGCUGAGACGCGAAAGCGUGGGGAGCGAACAGG